RNAcentral lists this ribosomal RNA (455 nucleotides) under uncultured bacterium. RNAcentral describes it as "bacterial SSU rRNA". It matches the Rfam family "Bacterial small subunit ribosomal RNA", at positions 340 to 788 of the family's 1533-position model. The record is from RNAcentral.
UACGGAAGGCAGCAGUGGGGAAUAUUGCACAAUGGGCGCAAGCCUGAUGCAGCCAUGCCGCGUGUAUGAAGAAGGCCUUCGGGUUGUAAAGUACUUUCAGUCGUGAGGAAGGUGUUAAGGUUAAUAACCUUAGCAAUUGACGUUAGCGACAGAAGAAGCACCGGCUAACUCCGUGCCAGCAGCCGCGGUAAUACGGAGGGUGCGAGCGUUAAUCGGAAUUACUGGGCGUAAAGGGCACGCAGGCGGUUAAUUAAGUUGGAUGUGAAAUCCCCGGGCUUAACCUGGGAAUGGCAUUCAAGACUGGUUAGCUAGAGUCUUGUAGAGGGGGUAGAAUUCCAUGUGUAGCGGUGAAAUGCGUAGAGAUGUGGAGGAAUAUCGGUGGCGAAGGCGGCCCCUGGGACAAAGACUGACGCUCAUGUGCGAAAGCGUGGGGAGCAAACAGGAUUAGAUACCUU